RNAcentral lists this ribosomal RNA (1390 nucleotides) under uncultured sediment bacterium. RNAcentral describes it as "bacterial SSU rRNA". It matches the Rfam family "Bacterial small subunit ribosomal RNA". The record is from RNAcentral.
AGAGUUUGAUCCUGGCUCAGGACGAACGCUGGCGGCGUGCCUAAUACAUGCAAGUCGAGCGGACCUUUCGGGGUCAGCGGCGGACGGGUGAGUAACACGUGGGCAAUCUGCCCGAUACUCUGGGAUAACGCUUGGAAACGAGUGCUAAUACCGGAUGGUCUUCUUGGCCGCAUGGCCGAGAAGGAAAAGACGCGUUCGCGUCGGUGUCGGAUGAGCCCGCGGCGCAUUAGCUAGUUGGUGAGGUAACGGCCCACCAAGGCGACGAUGCGUAGCCGACCUGAGAGGGUGACCGGCCACACUGGGACUGAGACACGGCCCAGACUCCUACGGGAGGCAGCAGUAGGGAAUCUUCCACAAUGGGCGAAAGCCUGAUGGAGCAACGCCGCGUGAGUGAUGAAGGCCUUCGGGUUGUAAAACUCUGUCAUUCGGGACGAACCGGAGUCUGAGGAAAUGCAGACUCUCUGACGGUACCGGAGGAGGAAGCCCCGGCUAACUACGUGCCAGCAGCCGCGGUAAUACGUAGGGGGCAAGCGUUGUCCGGAUUCACUGGGCGUAAAGCGCGCGCAGGCGGUGAUGUAAGUCUGAGGUGAAAACCCGAAGCUCAACUUCGGGACUGCCUUGGAUACUGCGUCACUUGAGGAUAGGAGAGGCAAGGGGAAUUCCCACGUGUAGCGGUGAAAUGCGUAGAGAUGUGGAGGAACACCUGUGGCGAAGGCGCCUUGCUGGCCUAUUUCUGACGCUGAGGCGCGAAAGCGUGGGGAGCAAACAGGAUUAGAUACCCUGGUAGUCCACGCUGUAAACGAUGAGUGCUAGGUGUAGGUGGGCUCAUACCCAUCUGUGCCGAAGCUAACGCAUUAAGCACUCCGCCUGGGGAGUACGGUCGCAAGACCGAAACUCAAAGGAAUUGACGGGGGCCCGCACAAGCAGUGGAGCAUGUGGUUUAAUUCGAAGCAACGCGAAGAACCUUACCAGGACUUGACAUCCCAUAGACCGGUCUAGAGAUAGACUUUCCCUUCGGGGCUGUGGUGACAGGUGGUGCAUGGUUGUCGUCAGCUCGUGUCGUGAGAUGUUGGGUUAAGUCCCGCAACGAGCGCAACCCUUACUUUGUGUUGCCAGCAUUCAGUUGGGCACUCACAAGGGACUGCCGCCGAUAAGGCGGAGGAAGGUGGGGAUGACGUCAAAUCAUCAUGCCCCUUAUGUCCUGGGCUACACACGUGCUACAAUGGGCGGUACAACGGGAUGCGAAGCCGCGAGGUGGAGCCAAACCCUGAAAACCGUUCGUAGUUCGGAUUGUAGGCUGCAACUCGCCUACAUGAAGCCGGAAUUGCUAGUAAUCGCGGAUCAGCAUGCCGCGGUGAAUCCGUUCCCGGGCCUUGUACACACCGCCCGU